AAAUCUCCUAAAUAUUAUUGAAUAGAUUCCCGCCAAACGCAGUAUUUUACGAUACAAUAUAAAAAGCACUCUUGAGUACGUGAAUGAUUUCAGGUGCUACUUAAAAAUUUUUAAGAAAUUA
This 121-nucleotide ribosomal RNA is filed under the name Ulnaria acus. Lineage: Eukaryota; Bacillariophyta; Fragilariophyceae; Fragilariales; Fragilariaceae. The record is from RNAcentral.